CAUUUUUAUACUAUUUUCCAAUAAUGCCAUUGCUGAAAAAUUAUGGAUUAGAUAUUUUAUAAAUAACUUUUGGGUAUUUUGCAAUUUUCACACUAUAUAUGUAUAAACAUGAGAAAUCAAAACAAUUCAUAAAAAAUAUAAGUACGAAGAUAAGUAAACAACAACAAAUUAAUAUAAUAAAUAAUCAGAAAAACAAACGAAUGCAUAAAAACAUUAUAUAUUCAAGAGGAAUAUAUUCAAUACAUAUGUACAUAUAUAUACUUAAUUGCUAUAACCUAAAAAAAUAUUUUCAUCUAUAUUAGAUAUAUAUUCCGGGCACACAAUUCUUGGAAUUUUCGCUAAAUUAUACAAAACACUAAAUUAAACACUACGAAAAUCCAUAUAUAAAUGUUAAAAUGCAAAAGAAUUACUUAAUUUAUUGGAUAUUUUUGGUUGCUCAACUUAUUCCAGAGUGAGAGCGCCUCAAAAUAAGCGUGUUUAUCAAGAAUGAUAGAAACAAGAUUGCGCAAUGCGCAUGUUUGCUUUCAGUCAGCUGUUCUUGCUGACGUCACGGUUGACUUAUUAUUCGCCCGCGCCUUUGAAUGUGAAAGAAAUUUGCAGUUUGAAAUGGGUUUAAGUUCGCCGAGUCUAACGAAGUUGCUACCUAGCGCUUUUCUCACGUUAACCAGAUUAACUCCUGCAGAGGCUAAUGAACGGCAGAAAAGGAUGGAGUCUCGUUUAAACCACUGUUUCUAAUCCUAAUUGCAAUAUUUUUCAACGUGUGUCAGUUGAUCUAUUCUGACCCAAUUGAAAAAAAUGAUGACUUGAAGAUUAUCAACAACGACGAGCUUGAAAAUUUGGCAGGGUACAUCUGCCACAAACUUGGUAAGGACAACCCCGAAAUUUGUGCCAAUUCAGAAAAUUGUUCGUCUUAUACUUGGGUGGAUCACCUAUCUGAAGGAGGACUCUCAAAACCAACAGAUAUGUUCAUGGAGCAUAUGAGAGGCUUGCAAGCAGUAUUUGGCGACUUAAAAGGUACUGAUUUGCAUAUGUAUAUGUACAAAUUACGUCCAGAAGCACUUAGAUUUAAGUAAUUUUGUAAAUUGUAGCACCAAAGUAAAAUAAUUGUUUUUCAGAGCUAGAAUGUAUUUUAGGAUUCGUUCCUUAAAUAAAAACUUAAUUGAAAAUAUGUACAGCAAAAAAAGAAAAUUAAAUAAGAAAAUAAAUUGAUAGUUGGUCUCA
Molecule: long non-coding RNA, 1221 nt
Organism: Bactrocera neohumeralis
Lineage: Eukaryota; Metazoa; Arthropoda; Insecta; Diptera; Tephritidae
Exons: 3
Source: RefSeq, a predicted model, not a curated record